UUCGCCCUUAGAGUUUGAUCCUGGCUCAGGACGAACGCUGGCGGCGUGCCUAACACAUGCAAGUCGAACGAAGCUUGACGAUAGAUUCUUCGGAUGAAGAUCUAGGUGACUGAGUGGCGGACGGGUGAGUAACGCGUGGGGAACCUGCCCCUCACAGGGGGAUAGCAUUUAGAAAUGACUGGUAAUACCGCAUAAGACCACAGCACCGCAUGGUGCAGGGGUAAAAACUCCGGUGGUAUGAGAUGGACCCGCGUCUGAUUAGGUAGUUGGUGGGGUAACGGCCUACCAAGCCGACGAUCAGUAGCCGACCUGAGAGGGUGACCGGCCACAUUGGGACUGAGACACGGCCCAAACUCCUACGGGAGGCAGCAGUGGGGAAUAUUGCACAAUGGGGGAAACCCUGAUGCAGCGACGCCGCGUGGAGGAAGAAGGUCUUCGGAUUGUAAACUCCUGUUGUUGAGGAAGAUAAUGACGGUACUCAACAAGGAAGUGACGGCUAACUACGUGCCAGCAGCCGCGGUAAAACGUAGGUCACAAGCGUUGUCCGGAAUUACUGGGUGUAAAGGGAGCGCAGGCGGGAAGACAAGUUGGAAGUGAAAUCCAUGGGCUCAACCCAUGAACUGCUUUCAAAACUGUUUUUCUUGAGUAGUGCAGAGGUAGGCGGAAUUCCCGGUGUAGCGGUGGAAUGCGUAGAUAUCGGGAGGAACACCAGUGGCGAAGGCGGCCUACUGGGCACCAACUGACGCUGAGGCUCGAAAGUGUGGGUAGCAAACAGGAUUAGAUACCCUGGUAGUCCACACCGUAAACGAUGAUUACUAGGUGUUGGAGGAUUGACCCCUUCAGUGCCGCAGUUAACACAAUAAGUAAUCCACCUGGGGAGUACGACCGCAAGGUUGAAACUCAAAGGAAUUGACGGGGGCCCGCACAAGCAGUGGAGUAUGUGGUUUAAUUCGACGCAACGCGAAGAACCUUACCAAGUCUUGACAUCCCUUGACGAUGCUGGAAACAGUAUUUCUCUUCGGAGCAAGGAGACAGGUGGUGCAUGGUUGUCGUCAGCUCGUGUCGUGAGAUGUUGGGUUAAGUCCCGCAACGAGCGCAACCCUUAUGGUCAGUUACUACGCAAGAGGACUCUGGCCAGACUGCCGUUGACAAAACGGAGGAAGGUGGGGAUGACGUCAAAUCAUCAUGCCCUUUAUGACUUGGGCUACACACGUACUACAAUGGCGUUAAACAAAGAGAAGCAAGACCGCGAGGUGGAGCAAAACUCAGAAACAACGUCCCAGUUCGGACUGCAGGCUGCAACUCGCCUGCACGAAGUCGGAAUUGCUAGUAAUCGUGGAUCAGCAUGCCACGGUGAAUACGUUCCCGGGCCUUGCACACACCGCCCGUCA
RNAcentral lists this ribosomal RNA (1391 nucleotides) under uncultured bacterium. RNAcentral describes it as "16S ribosomal RNA". It matches the Rfam family "Bacterial small subunit ribosomal RNA". The record is from RNAcentral.